UAAACUAGGAUUAGAUACCCUAUUAUUAGAAAUAAUACAUUGUUAGUAAAUAAUAUUUAUGAAAACAAAAAAUCAUGGCGGUAUCUUAAGCUUUUCAGAGGAAUUUGCUCUUUAAUGGAUAAAACACCCAAAUCUUACUAAAAUUGGUUAAGACAGUUUGUAUACCACUAUUUAAGUAAUUAUUAAUUAUAAUUGCUGUAAAUUUUAAACAAAAAAAAAGUUAAGUCAAGGUGCAGCAUAAAUUUUAGGAUGAAGUGAAUUACAAUGCUUUUUAGAAAAGCGAUUUAAAAAAAAAAAUUAGGAUUUGAAAGUAAAAAUUUUAAUAGAAUGAUUAUUUGAAUUAAGCUCUGAGAUAUGUACAUAUCGCC
Molecule: ribosomal RNA, 368 nt
Filed under: Amblyomma cajennense (Cayenne tick)
Lineage: Eukaryota; Metazoa; Arthropoda; Arachnida; Ixodida; Ixodidae
Description: partial 12S ribosomal RNA
Source: RNAcentral